This 540-nucleotide ribosomal RNA is filed under the name Sporothrix schenckii. RNAcentral describes it as "eukaryotic LSU rRNA". It matches the Rfam family "Eukaryotic large subunit ribosomal RNA", at positions 66 to 630 of the family's 3401-position model. The record is from RNAcentral. Lineage: Eukaryota; Fungi; Ascomycota; Sordariomycetes; Ophiostomatales; Ophiostomataceae.
CAACAGGGAUUGCCCCAGUAACGGCGAGUGAAGCGGCAACAGCUCAAAUUUGAAAUCUGGCCCCCCGGCCCGAGUUGUAAUUUGGAGAGGAUGCUUUUGGCGCGGCGCCGUCCGAGUUCCUUGGAACAGGACGCCACAGAGGGUGAGAGCCCCGUACGGACGGACGCCUAGCCUCUACAAAGCUCCUUCGACGAGUCGAGUAGUUUGGGAAUGCUGCUCAAAAUGGGAGGUAAAUUUCUUCUAAAGCUAAAUACCGGCCAGAGACCGAUAGCGCACAAGUAGAGUGAUCGAAAGAUGAAAAGCACUUUGAAAAGAGGGUUAAAAAGUACGUGAAAUUGUUGAAAGGGAAGCGCCUGUGACCCAGACUUGCGCCCCGUGGACCACCCGGCGUUCUCGCCGGUGCACUCCGCGGGGCGCAGGCCAGCAUCGGUUUUCCUAGGGGGACAAAGGCCGCGGGAACGUAGCUCCUUCGGGAGUGUUAUAGCCCGCGGCGGCAUGCCCCUGGGGGGACCGAGGACCGCGCUCGGCAAGGAUGCUGCG